GGUAGCGUGUCGCAGUGGAAGCGUGCUGAGCCCAUAACCCUGAUGUCGGUGGAUCGAAACCCCUCGCUACUA
This 72-nucleotide transfer RNA is filed under the name Pristionchus pacificus. It matches the Rfam family "tRNA". Rfam says of the family: Transfer RNA (tRNA) molecules are approximately 80 nucleotides in length. Their secondary structure includes four short double-helical elements and three loops (D, anti-codon, and T loops). Further hydrogen bonds mediate the characteristic L-shaped molecular structure. tRNAs have two regions of fundamental functional importance: the anti-codon, which is responsible for specific mRNA codon recognition, and the 3' end, to which the tRNAs corresponding amino acid is attached (by aminoacyl-tRNA synthetases). tRNAs cope with the degeneracy of the genetic code in two manners: having more than one tRNA (with a specific anti-codon) for a particular amino acid; and 'wobble' base-pairing, i.e. permitting non-standard base-pairing at the 3rd anti-codon position. Lineage: Eukaryota; Metazoa; Nematoda; Chromadorea; Rhabditida; Neodiplogasteridae. The record is from Rfam by way of RNAcentral.